RNAcentral lists this ribosomal RNA (464 nucleotides) under uncultured bacterium. RNAcentral describes it as "partial 16S ribosomal RNA". It matches the Rfam family "Bacterial small subunit ribosomal RNA", at positions 28 to 507 of the family's 1533-position model. The record is from RNAcentral.
GACGAACGCUGGCGGCGUGCUUAACACAUGCAAGUCGAACGGAAAGGCCCCUUUGGGGUACUCGGGUGGCGAACGGGUGAGUAACACGUGAGUAACCUGCCCUUGACUUCGGGAUAACUUCAGGAAACUGGGGCUAAUACAGGAUAGGAAACCUUGCUGCAUGGUGGGGGAUGGAAAGCUUCGGCGGUUUUGGAUGGACUCACGGGUUAUCAGCUUGGUGGUGGGGUAGUGGCUUACCAAGGCCUUGACGGGUAGCCGGCCUGGGAGGGCGACCGGCCACAUUGGGACUGAGGGACGGCGCAGACUCCUACGGGAGGCAGCAGUGGGGAGUCUUGCACAAUGGGCGGGAGCCAGAGGCGGAGACGCCGCGAGCGUGAAGACGGGCUUCGGGUUGUAAACCGCUUUCAGCAGGGGCGAAGCUUGUGGUGACGGUACCUGCAGAGGAAGCACCGGCUAACUACGUG